RNAcentral lists this unclassified non-coding RNA (601 nucleotides) under Akashiwo sanguinea. RNAcentral describes it as "partial 5' external transcribed spacer". Lineage: Eukaryota; Dinophyceae; Gymnodiniales; Gymnodiniaceae. The record is from RNAcentral.
ACUCGACCGUUUACUCUAACUGUUCCUGACUCGACGCUCUAUCUUGCUCGGAUAAGGAGUCAUAGUUGUGCGCCUGAGUCGAGGUUAUCCGACUUUGAAUGAAUUUAACUCACAGAUUGCUUGGCCCCAGGCUCAACCAGCUCGGAUAAGGAGUCUCGGUUGGUAUGGGGUUAAGCUUUGGGAGAAGGGCGCUUGCAGCAGCUGCUGUGCGAUCCGGUGCUUGUGAGAAUCUUCUUGCAGGGGAGUUGCCGAUCAUACCCAGCCGGCAUGUCAUGGGGAUCGAAUCCCUGUGGUAUGUUGUGCCGUAGAGCUUUCGAUGAGUUGCUUCAGCCUAAUACAGGCGGCGAUGCAUCGAACAGCACUGGUCUUCUGAUGUUUCCUUGUAUGAGAGCUUCAUGUUCAGCAUGAAGCGGGUCCAUGUCUGAAUCUUCCAAGCUUGCGCUUGUGAAUGAAUCAGCUGUCGAGAGAGUGAUGUGGGGGUGGAUCGAUUCAGCGGCCUGAGCCCGAGUUGGGUGGUGCUAGCUCGCCUUCCAAUGCAAGCUCUGCCUGCGAAUUACCAGCCCUGCUGAUCUCAAACGUUACAGUAUCUAUCAGCCUGGCA